Molecule: non-coding RNA, 214 nt
Filed under: Rhizobium sp.
Lineage: Bacteria; Pseudomonadati; Pseudomonadota; Alphaproteobacteria; Hyphomicrobiales; Rhizobiaceae
Also listed under: 1 other name
Source: RNAcentral
CCUACUGCUUUGAGAGAUGGUUCCGCCUGACCUGAGGAAGGGUGGAUCAAAAGGGAACACGGUGAGGAUUACCCAUCAGGGGCCGAGACCGUGGCUGCCCCCGCAACUGUGAGCGGAGAGCGACGUCCUUCAUGCCAUUGGCCUUUUCGGGCUGAUAAGGCGGACCGAGCCAUGACCCGCGAGCCAGGAGACCUGCCAUCGCUGGGCCACGACA